Molecule: non-coding RNA, 45 nt
Filed under: Schistosoma margrebowiei
Lineage: Eukaryota; Metazoa; Platyhelminthes; Trematoda; Strigeidida; Schistosomatidae
Source: RNAcentral
AUCCAGCUGACGAGUCCCAAACAGGAUGAAUCGCGCGUCCUGGAU